AUUGAACGCUGGCGGUAUGCUUAACACAUGCAAGUCGAACGGCAGCACGAGAGAGUUUACUCUUUUGGUGGCGAGUGGCGGACGGGUGAGUAAUACAUAGGAAUCUGCCUUAUAGUUUGGGAUAACUACUCGAAAGAGUGGCUAAUACCGGAUGUGGACUACGGUUUAAAGCAGGGGAUCUUCGGACCUUGCGCUAUAAGAUGAGCCUAUGCAAGAUUAGCUAGUUGGUGAGGUAAAGGCUCACCAAGGCGACGAUCUUUAGCUGGUCUGAGAGGAUGAUCAGCCACACUGGGACUGAGACACGGCCCAGACUCCUACAGGAGGCAGCAGUGGGGAAUAUUGGACAAUGGGCGGAAGCCUGAUCCAGCAAUACCGCGUGUGUGAAGAAGGCCUUCGGGUUGUAAAGCACUUUUGUCAGGGAGAAUGGUAGUAGAGGUUAAUACCCUCUGCUAUUGAUGUUACCUGAAGAAUAAGCACCGGCUAACUCCGUGCCAGCCGCCGCCGUAA
Molecule: ribosomal RNA, 507 nt
Filed under: uncultured bacterium
Lineage: Bacteria
Description: partial 16S ribosomal RNA
Rfam family: Bacterial small subunit ribosomal RNA
Source: RNAcentral